UACGUAGGGGGCAAGCGUUAUCCGGAUUUACUGGGUGUAAAGGGAGCGUAGACGGUUCUGCAAGCCAGAUGUGAAAGCCCGGGGCUCAACCCCGGGACUGCAUUUGGAACUGUAAGGCUAGAGUGUCGGAGAGGCAGGCGGAAUUCCUAGUGUAGCGGUGAAAUGCGUAGAUAUUAGGAGGAACACCAGUGGCGAAGGCGGUCUGCUGGACAGCAACUGACGGUGAGGCGCGAAAGCGUGGGGAGCAAACAGG
This 253-nucleotide ribosomal RNA is filed under the name uncultured Blautia sp. RNAcentral's name for it is "partial 16S ribosomal RNA". It matches the Rfam family "Bacterial small subunit ribosomal RNA", at positions 524 to 776 of the family's 1533-position model. The record is from RNAcentral. Lineage: Bacteria; Bacillati; Bacillota; Clostridia; Lachnospirales; Lachnospiraceae.